CCUACGGGAGGCAGCAGUAGGGAAUCUUCCACAAUGGGCGAAAGCCUGAUGGAGCAACGCCGCGUGGGUGAAGAAGGUCUUCGGAUCGUAAAACCCUGUUGUUAGAGAAGAAAGUGCGUGAGAGUAACUGUUCACGUUUCGACGGUAUCUAACCAGAAAGCCACGGCUAACUACGUGCCAGCAGCCGCGGUAAUACGUAGGUGGCAAGCGUUAUCCGGAUUUAUUGGGCGUAAAGGGAACGCAGGCGGGCUUUUAAGUCUGAUGUGAAAGCCUUCGGCUUAACCGGAGUAGUGCAUUGGAAACUGGAGGACUUGAGUGAAGAAGAGGAGAGUGGAACUCCAUGUGUAGCGGUGAAAUGCGUAGAUAUAUGGAAGAACACCAGUGGCGAAGGCGGCUCUCUGGGCUGUAACUGACGCUGAGGUUCGAAAGCGUGGGUAGCAAACAGGAUUAGAUACCCGAGUAGUC
RNAcentral lists this ribosomal RNA (465 nucleotides) under uncultured bacterium. Its description in RNAcentral is "partial 16S ribosomal RNA". It matches the Rfam family "Bacterial small subunit ribosomal RNA", at positions 338 to 795 of the family's 1533-position model. The record is from RNAcentral.